This 431-nucleotide ribosomal RNA is filed under the name Hylophorbus sp. LAO-2013b. RNAcentral's name for it is "partial 16S ribosomal RNA". The record is from RNAcentral. Lineage: Eukaryota; Metazoa; Chordata; Amphibia; Anura; Microhylidae.
UUUUAACUCUUUACAUAAUAUUAAAUAUACUUUACAGAUUUAAAAUUUAUUCAAAUAAGGUACAGCCUAUUUGAAACAGGAUACAACCUAUCACAGAGGGUAAUGCCAAUACAAACGUGAACAAGUAGGCCUAAAAGCAGCCAUCUUUUAAAAAGCGUUAAAGCCUUAUCACAUUUAAUUAUAAAUGCCAACCAAAACUCAAAACCCCUAAACCCUACUGAAUGACUUCAUACUUAUAUGAAAAUCCUCAUGUUAGAACCAGUAACAAGAAUAAUUAUUCUCCUAUAAAUGUAAGUGUAAGUCGAAAUGGAUCCCCCAUCGACACUCACCGCCAAUGAACCUACAGUAAUAACUCUCUCAAGAAAACUUUACUUUUCUCCUACGUUAACCUUACACAAGAACUUUUCUGGAAAGAUUUAAAAAAGAGGAAG